Trichechus manatus latirostris (Florida manatee) is the source of this 71-nucleotide non-coding RNA. The record is from the annotation of a RefSeq genome assembly. NCBI's taxonomy places the organism in Eukaryota, Metazoa, Chordata, Mammalia, Sirenia, Trichechidae.
GCAGUGGUGGUUCAGUGGCAGGAUGCUCGCCUUUCAUGCGGGAGACCUGGGUUCAAUUCCCAGCCAAUGUA